AAAUGAGAAACAAAAAAAUUGUAUUUAGUUUCGACCUAAAAUUUUGGAGUAGCCUUCCCUCAUUUG
This 66-nucleotide transfer RNA is filed under the name Scolytinae sp. BMNH 1040065. RNAcentral describes it as "tRNA-Arg". The record is from RNAcentral. Lineage: Eukaryota; Metazoa; Arthropoda; Insecta; Coleoptera; Curculionidae.